RNAcentral lists this long non-coding RNA (1999 nucleotides) under Homo sapiens (human). RNAcentral describes it as "HSALNT0286707". Lineage: Eukaryota; Metazoa; Chordata; Mammalia; Primates; Hominidae. The record is from RNAcentral.
AAACUUUAUUCAUAACACAUCUUAAAAUACGAACGUUGUACAGAUGUACAAAAAUACAUUUUUCUUUAUAUCCUUAUUCUAUAAGCUUUUCUCCAUUAAAACAAUAUUUUUUAACCUUUUAAACAUUUUUGCUAAAACUAAGACACAAACACACACAUUAGAUCAGGCAUACACAGUCAGGAUCAUCUAUAUCACAGUCUUCCACCACCACAUCUUGUUCCCCACUGGAAGAUCUUCAGGUGCAAUAAACAUGAAGCUGUCAUCUCCUGUGAUAAUAAUGCUUUCUUCUGGAAUAUGUCCUGCAGGAACUGCCUGAGGUUGUUUUACAAUUAACUUUUUUCUAUAUAAGUAGAAGGAGUAUACUCUAAAGUAAUGCUAAAAAGUAUAGCAUAGUAAAUAUAUAAACCAGUAACACAGUCAUUUACUAUCUUGUUUUUGUUCAAACAUUUAAGUUAGGUGCAGUGGCUCGUGCCUGUAAUCCCAGCACUUUGGGAGGCUGAAGUGGGAGGACUGCUUGAAACCAGGAGUUUGAGAACAGCCUGGGCAACACAGCGAGUCCUCUUCUCUACAGAAAAAAAAAAAUACAAAAAUUAACUGGGUGUGGUGGGGCACACCUGUAGUCCCAGGUAUCCAGGAGGCUGAGGUGGGAGAAUUGCUUGAGCCCAGGUGUUAGUGGCUGCCACUGCACUCCAGCCUGGGCAACUGAGCAAGACCUCAUCUCUUAAAAAAAAAAAUUAUUGAGCAUUUUUUUAUGGGACAAGCACCGUGCAAGGUGCUGGGACAUAAGAGUAAUUACAACAAAGUCCCUCAAGGAGCUCAUAGUCUAAUGGUAAACCACAGAGCUAACAGAGGCACACAGUGGUAAAUGACUUACCCAAUGAGGUGGAAAUAGCUAGGUAUGUGGAAACCUGGGACUAGAGCUGGAGAGAGGGCACGGUAGAACUUACUGUAAGUAAAACCCCUUUGAUUGAAGAGCUGGGCUGCAUACAGAAACACAUUACAAAAUCUGCUUGCAAAAACCUUCAGUUUCCAGUUUUCCCCACAAUUGAAUUUAUGUCUCACAAUGAAUUAAUCUAUCAUUUGAUAGCAUUUCUAUACUUGGCCCCAAAGCCUUGGAGCAUGCCAUCAAUCUGUUGAGACACAGCAAUUUAGUAGACAGCUUAAAAUCAAGAAGUAUCUGACUCCAAUUUCAGCAUUAAGAACCAUAUUAAAACACUUCAGUUAAAUCAAUGAAUGUAAAUGUACAGCACAUUUAUGAUACUUCUACAUGUAGCAAUUUCUUUUGUGAUAUAUGACAUAAUCCCUGAAGGAAAGGGUAGAGCCUGCAAACAACCGUCCAUUUCAGGCCUGACUGUCAUUUUCAUGACACCCUUUGUGACGAAGCUAUUUCAGGAGGCAAGAUGUCUAUUCCGAUGACAAAAAGCAGUGCAUAAUUAUACAUGGAGUUGUUUUCAAAUGUGGAAACCAGAAUUAUUCAGGAAUCUAAGUCGUGAACUACUCAAAAAUAGUACUGGUGGUAAUGCUGCUACUAACCGAAAACAAGAGCACUCCAUGUCCAUUGCUGUAAGAAUCAAAUGUGAUGUGUAAUUCUCCGCAGAGGAUGUUCCCCCAAAACCUCAACAAUACCUGAAUUCUCAAAUGUUAUCAGUUGCUCAUGUCAAGCAAUUCUUCACCUUGCUGAGGAUUUUCUUCUUCUUCAGGGUGUUCUGGAUGUCUGCUCUCAGAUGAAGUCCCAGUGCUCUCAGAUGAAGUCCCGGCACUCUCAGACGUGUAGUUAGCUUCGUAAUCCUUCUUCGAUAGACACAAAUAGGCGUCAACAGGUCCGUCGUUGUUACUUAAACGUAAUGAGAAAGAGUCUUCAGAAAUUGGAAUUUCCAGUGUGAUUUCUACUGGCAAUUUAGCGACAAAAACGGUCUGUUCCUGGAAGCGUUCCAAGUUGUGAAUGUCUUCAAGCGUCACAUAUGCUAGUUUUCCCAAUUCUUUGUCAUUUGUUAACUCA